UUGACCUCAAAUCGGGUGAGACUACCCGCUGAACUUAAGCAUAUCAAUAAGCGGAGGAAAAGAAACUAACAAGGAUUCCCCUAGUAACUGCGAGUGAAGCGGGAAAAGCUCAAAUUUAAAAUCUGGCGGUCUUUGGCCGUCCGAGUUGUAAUUUAGAGAAGCGUCUUCCGCGCCG
Molecule: ribosomal RNA, 175 nt
Filed under: Lactarius torminosus
Lineage: Eukaryota; Fungi; Basidiomycota; Agaricomycetes; Russulales; Russulaceae
Description: partial 26S ribosomal RNA
Rfam family: Eukaryotic large subunit ribosomal RNA
Source: RNAcentral